GACGAACGCUGGCGGCGUGCUUAACACAUGCAAGUCGAACGGAAAGGCCCUGCGUUUGUGGGGUGCUCGAGUGGCGAACGGGUGAGUAACACGUGAGUAACCUGCCCUUGACUUUGGGAUAACUUCAGGAAACUGGGGCUAAUACCGGAUAGGAGCUCCUGCUGCAUGGGGGGGGUUGGAAAGUUUCGGCGGUUGGGGAUGGACUCGCGGCUUAUCAGCUUGUUGGUGGGGUAGUGGCUUACCAAGGCUUUGACGGGUAGCCGGCCUGAGAGGGUGACCGGCCACAUUGGGACUGAGAUACGGCCCAGACUCCUACGGGAGGCAGCAGUGGGGAAUAUUGCACAAUGGGCGGAAGCCUGAUGCAGCAACGCCGCGUGCGGGAUGACGGCCUUCGGGUUGUAAACCGCUUUCGCCUGUGCCGAAGCGUGAGUGACGGUAAUGGGUAAAGAAGCACCGGCUAACUACGUG
Molecule: ribosomal RNA, 468 nt
Filed under: uncultured bacterium
Lineage: Bacteria
Description: partial 16S ribosomal RNA
Rfam family: Bacterial small subunit ribosomal RNA
Source: RNAcentral